RNAcentral lists this ribosomal RNA (1359 nucleotides) under uncultured bacterium. RNAcentral's name for it is "16S ribosomal RNA". It matches the Rfam family "Bacterial small subunit ribosomal RNA", at positions 30 to 1381 of the family's 1533-position model. The record is from RNAcentral.
UGAACGCUGGCGGCAGGCUUAACACAUGCAAGUCGAGCGGGGUGAUGUAGCUUGCUACAUUACCUAGCGGCGGACGGGUGAGUAAUGCUUAGGAAUCUGCCUAUUAGUGGGGGACAACAUUCCGAAAGGAAUGCUAAUACCGCAUACGCCCUACGGGGGAAAGCAGGGGAUCUUCGGACCUUGCGCUAAUAGAUGAGCCUAAGUCAGAUUAGCUAGUUGGUGGGGUAAAGGCCUACCAAGGCGACGAUCUGUAGCGGGUCUGAGAGGAUGAUCCGCCACACUGGGAGUGAGACACGGCCCAGACUCCUACGGGAGGCAGCAGUGGGGAAUAUUGGACAAUGGGCGAAAGCCUGAUCCAGCCAUGCCGCGUGUGUGAAGAAGGCCUUUUGGUUGUAAAGCACUUUAAGCGAGGAGGAGGCUACUUAGAUUAAUACUCUAGGAUAGUGGACGUUACUCGCAGAAUAAGCACCGGCUAACUCUGUGCCAGCAGCCGCGGUAAUACAGAGGGUGCGAGCGUUAAUCGGAUUUACUGGGCGUAAAGCGUGCGUAGGCGGCUUUUUAAGUCGGGAUGUGAAAUCCCUGAGCUUAACUUAGGAAUUGCAUUCGAUACUGGGAAGCUAGAGUAUGGGAGAGGAUGGUAGAAUUCCAGGUGUAGCGGUGAAAUGCGUAGAGAUCUGGAGGAAUACCGAUGGCGAAAGGCAGCCAUCUGGCCUAAUACUGACGCUGAGGUACGAAAGCAUGGGGAGCAAACAGGAUUAGAUACCCUGGUAGUCCAUGCCGUAAACGAUGUCUACUAGCCGUUGGGGCCUUUGAGGCUUUAGUGGCGCAGCUAACGCGAUAAGUAGACCGCCUGGGGAGUACGGUCGCAAGACUAAAACUCAAAUGAAUUGACGGGGGCCCGCACAAGCGGUGGAGCAUGUGGUUUAAUUCGAUGCAACGCGAAGAACCUUACCUGGUCUUGACAUAGUAAGAACUUUCCAGAGAUGGAUUGGUGCCUUCGGGAACUUACAUACAGGUGCUGCAUGGCUGUCGUCAGCUCGUGUCGUGAGAUGUUGGGUUAAGUCCCGCAACGAGCGCAACCCUUUUCCUUAUUUGCCAGCGGGUUAAGCCGGGAACUUUAAGGAUACUGCCAGUGACAAACUGGAGGAAGGCGGGGACGACGUCAAGUCAUCAUGGCCCUUACGACCAGGGCCACACACGUGCUACAAUGGUCGGUACAAAGGGUUGCUACCUAGCGAUAGGAUGCUAAUCUCAAAAAGCCGAUCGUAGUCCGGAUUGGAGUCUGCAACUCGACUCCAUGAAGUCGGAAUCGCUAGUAAUCGCGGAUCAGCAUGUCACGGUGAAUACGUUCCCGGGUCU